GCAAGUGGGGAUGACCUUGAUUGUAUCUGUAAUGUUUGUUUUCUCUUCAGGGAAAAAUGUAAAAAAAAAAAUCUGAAGCAAAUAUUUCAAAAGAGUGACAUUUGGAUAUCUGAGAGGACAAGUUUGCCCUCUGCUGAGUCAGCAUGUCACAGUGUGCCCCUGCACCAGCGACAUCUGUCUUAGAGAAUCCUCGCACCGAGUCUGCCACUCCCUGAUUAUCUUCGGUCUCUGCAGUCAUUCUGUGCAUGAGGCGGAGGUCCCAGGGGGGUUUCACAUCCUGGGCUGCCGCUCUGAGUCUGUGCACACCCCGUGCUGUUAUCUAGCAGGCUCGCCUGUGACCUGUGUCAUGACCUUGCUGCAUGCGAAAUGAGGAUGAGAAGUUUUGACUUUGGAACAGAGAGCAAUGAAAGAGGAGGAAUUCAACCGCAGCUCCAGAGCCAUAGCCAGGGGGCCCUGCAGGCUUCUUAGAAGAGAGACCCGCUAUGAAGAAAUCCCAGGGUUAAAUACCAAAGAAAAAUAAGAUUUGAGAAAGAAAAGAUCCAGAAUUGCAGCUCAAGAUUAAAUCAUGAAUAACAUCAAAGGAAGCUUCUCGAUGCUGUGAUGUAGUGGGUAAAGCUGCUGCCUGCAGUGCUGGCAUCCCAUAUGGGUGCCACUUUGAGUUCCCACCUGUGCCACUUCCAACCCAGCUCCCUGCUAAUGUGCCUGGAAAAAUAGUGGAAGAUGGGCCAAGUCCUUGAGCCCAGAAGGUUCUGGCUCUUGGCUUUGGAUGGGCCCAGCUCCAGCCAUUGUGGCCAUUUGGAGAGUGAACUAAGGGAUGAAAGAUCUCUCUCUCUCUCUCUCUCUCU
Molecule: long non-coding RNA, 845 nt
Organism: Lepus europaeus (European hare)
Lineage: Eukaryota; Metazoa; Chordata; Mammalia; Lagomorpha; Leporidae
Exons: 3
Source: RefSeq, a predicted model, not a curated record